Molecule: ribozyme, 310 nt
Organism: Mesocricetus auratus (golden hamster)
Lineage: Eukaryota; Metazoa; Chordata; Mammalia; Rodentia; Cricetidae
Rfam family: Nuclear RNase P
About the family: Ribonuclease P (RNase P) is a ubiquitous endoribonuclease, found in archaea, bacteria and eukarya as well as chloroplasts and mitochondria. Its best characterised activity is the generation of mature 5'-ends of tRNAs by cleaving the 5'-leader elements of precursor-tRNAs. Cellular RNase Ps are ribonucleoproteins.
Source: Ensembl
GGUGGAGGAAGCUCAUCAGCCGGGCCACGUGCUGAGUGCCGUCACUCCCGGCCCCUGGGAAGGUCUGAGACUGGCCCCCCUCCCCCCGUGGCCCGAACUGGGCCCUCCCUGAGCAGGGAGGUGAGUUCCCAGAGAGCAGAGUCAUUAUAGGCUUGAGGAGAGAGCUGACACUAGUGAGAUCUCUAGAGAUCUACAAGGAUAACACCAACUGGCAAACUAAACAAUAGUAGAGAGACUACUAAUAGGCCCUCUUUGAUGAUAGGGUUGAUGACUAUCCUAUAUGCCAUUCUAGAACCUUCAUCCAGGGACU